UUUUCCUGCCAAAAACGUAAACU
RNAcentral lists this non-coding RNA (23 nucleotides) under Arabidopsis thaliana (thale cress). The record is from RNAcentral. Lineage: Eukaryota; Viridiplantae; Streptophyta; Magnoliopsida; Brassicales; Brassicaceae.